AAAACAACUUUAUUGACAAUUUUAAGACACCUCAUUCAAAAGAAAUGCCUAGCAAACAUGUGCAGUAUUCUAUUAAUGGGUGCUCACUGGUCACUUCACUUUUCUUUUGUCUUUGAAGGCUGAACAUCUAAAAGGUAUACAAAUCGAAAUUCUGCUGCUCAACAGUGCAAAUAAAGCCUGACUGUCUGAUAGUCACAUUUCUUCAAACACCUGAUGUGCGUCAGAUAUUUAGAAAAAAGUCGGCUGGAAGAGCAUCAUACGCAGAAAUACUAAAUAGACCAAGCAAGAGGCCAAAAAUUAGAGUUGAAUCUGACCGGAAGGAGUAGUAGAGGGAAGGCAAUCACCAAAAGCGAAGUUCCAUAGAAAGAAGGAGACAAACAUAAGCAGAGAAUCAAAAAUCGAACGGUGACCAAAAAGAAGAGGUUUUACCGGCAAGAUUUUUAAUGAGGCAACAAUCCAAAAGCGUAUCAUACUCAACCGAUGCCAGAAUUUUUGGGGAAGCUAGCCUGAUGUCUAUGGCCCAAUGUAAAAGGGGUACAAGACAAAUCAGUGGGACCAAUAAAUCACAGAAUUUCUCAGAGCCACACCCAUAUGAACUGGGACUGCCGGCAAUCAAUGGUCGCGCCCUGCUUUCUCUUUUUAUACAUCUUACCAAGGUUCUAUAAAAAAUCCGGGACUAGCUUAUGUAUCAAUAGGAUGGUUUAUCCGUUCAAACUUCAGGAAUGAAAUAAGAAUUCUUACUUAUUCCCCAAUUAUUAUCGGGAAGACAUCUUUCAAACUCAAAAUGUUUUGGGCAAAACCGAACUCGGAGGCCACGUGGCCCGGAAAAAUCACUUCUAACACACGGCACAGCCUUAGAGCCUUAGAGCCUCAGAGCGUGCAAGUUUCAUGAAACUUUGUGCCAUUAAAUGAGGUCGAGACAUCUUCCUCACCAGGACCGAAAUCAAAAGGGCCCUCCUUUAUUAUGACUCGGACAAAUAAUUCCAGAUCACAAAAAGUGUUUCCGGAAGUGACAUGCCCGGAUUGAGUUAAAAAUGUUUACCUCAAACACUAAACGCAAAAGAAAAUUGAAAGGCGUGUAUCGGUCAACAUUUCGUAACUUAAACACCGACACCCAAAUAUGAACAUAGUUUCGAAAGUCGGGCAUAGUGAUUACGCCCUGACGGUUAAGUGUUAAAAAUAAAAAAGCCAACAGUUAACUAAGCGACGCACAGGCCAAAACAUUCAGUAAGGGCAUGAAGGCCCACAAGAUACAUACAUAAGCUAGGCAGGGAGGAAUAUCUUCACCGUCCGAGGAGUUAGCAGAGGCAUCAGAAGAAGAGGGUGUCAUAUCGCGGAGGUCAUCUAGAGUUGCUUCGGCGGAUGCUACAUCCACAUCGACUUUUAACAACGCUGAAGGGAUGUCUAUAGUACGACCCUCAUGAACCUCCGAGAGAGUAUCUGCCCGAGUCUUUAACACAACGAAGUCUUUAAUUAUGUUGGCAACAUUUUUGUCAGCAGCUCGGUGAAAGCCUCCAGUGCUUGGACCCGCCCUCGGGCAACUGCCCCCUUCGUUUCGACUUGAGCCGCCUUCUCUUGAAGCUCCUAAUGAUCGACCGUGAGAUGCUAAAGAACACUCUCCCGAUCAGACAAGGCCUUCUUAGCUUCCAGCCACCUUGAUACAAAGGCAGUCUGUCGAGAUGCGAACCCUGACAUAUCAGCCCGCGGGCCAAGUUCUCGGACUUCAACCUUUCUAAUUCUCCGGAUGCGGUAAAAGGCAUUCUCUUGACCAGAUCGAUGGUAGAAACAGUGCUAGUAUGGCCCUGCGUAAGGAAAAGAGAAGAUAACAUAGAGAUCCUGACAUAGCAUAAUAAGACCUUCAUAUAAAAAAAAACCAGUGAUGUACCUGAAGAAAUAGUUAGGCCAGGUGAGAGAGGGACACUUCCAAGCUAAGACUGAGUCCUUCAGUCGAAGUGGUGGAGCUGAGGGGUCGGCACCUGCAUCGCCGGUCACACGCUCAGCAUCUUAGGGUGUAGCGUUCCCUGGGCAAACCACCACGCUCUUGGUAGCAACAUUAGAAGGCCCCCCGGUGUUCCGACUAACAAUCUUCCCCUUUUUACCUUCAUCCUGGUUCACCAUGCCCUGAAUAGUUUCUUGCCAAUAUUGAAUGAGCCUGCAAGGAAUUCCAUUAAUAACUGGCUGUUUUGAUUCUUUGCAACAACUCGAUGAAUUUAGUAGAUUAUUUUAGGAGACCCUAAUAACUAUAGAUUGAACCUAUCCAAUUUUUACAGUUGUGUCCUUACUCGGGAACCAAUCCCCCCGGAGAAAGAGGCGCCGGCAUCAGCCGAAGGCCUUUGUUUGCGAGAAUCAGAGGCAGCGGCCUCAAUAUUUUCAAUAUUGACUAGGGCUUCCUCCCGGUAAUGAACCCUCCGGGAUGAAGAUCCCCGAACAGGAAGGAUUGCAGAAGAAAAAGUAUGUGGAAGUCCAGUUAUAAGAAGAUGCGAUUAAAAGAAAGUAACAUAAGGAAAAGAUUCUCUAGCUCGCCAUGGCUCUUACCCCUCCAAUGGUUGGCAGAAAUACUCCUUUAGGUCCUCUCAACCCUGAGAGAUGCGUGCAGAAUGGCCAUCAGUUAGCUAAAAAGGUCGGGCAUAAAAUCUUAUUCAACUGGGACCGCUGUAAAUAAGAGUAAUGUACAAAUUAAGUACAUACGAGCAGGAUUCCAUUAUUCCAAGAGCGGAUCAGAAGACGCACGAUGCAAGAAAUUGGUGUGUAUCAUCACGAAUCGAUCGUACCAGUCGCGGUCAUGAUCAUCCUCAGUACUGGUGAUCAAGCCUUGAGAGCCCAAAUGAAUCAUCCCCCCCACAGAACGUGCGAGAGGAGUAUAUGAGAGUCAGAUGGUCCAGAGUGAAAGAGAGCCCGACUAGGUCAGCCAGAUACUGAAUGCAUUGAACUAUUCUCCAAAUUUGAGGCGCUAAUUAAGCGAUGCAGACUCGGUAGUGGCGCCAAAACACCUCAAUCAUAUCAUGCACAAGCAGGAGAAACCGAUGGUGAAAGGGUAAGUAUAAAUUAUCGACAUACCAGCAACAUAGUGAGAAAUGUUAGUGUCCUCAGGGGCCACAAAAAUCUCAACCUCGGGUUCCCAUUGGCAGUCAGUCCGAACUUGGAGACGGGUGGAACCAGUGAUCAAGGAGUGUAUCUCCAUAACCGACCCCAAUUUCUAACUGAUAUGAAAAUCCUUCAUAAAAUUGAGAAUUGGGGGAAUGAUGUCACGGUAGUCGACCCCAAGUCAAUUUCUUGUGUAUCGGGUGAGGAGUAGAUGUCGUUUCCCUGGUCGGAAGAGGCAUCAAAGGCCCUGUCUAGUCGGUCCUCUGCAGGGAUAGGAGUUUGGUAUUGGGAAGAAGAUUUUAGACAUUAUCCUCUUGAGGGGAAAGAAGGCAAGAAAGGGAGAAGGGAAAAAUUAGAAGCAGAUGGUUGAGGUUUAAGGUAAUAAUGUUCUGUGGCGUUUGUGAGGGAAAUUGGUGGAUUAAUUGGCGGUAUAAAUAGGGGAAGGAUUAAUCAUAGGCCUCGAUUGACGAAGCGGCAUGCCUGAUUCUAUAACCAUCAUUCGCUGCCUUUAAAACGGUGCCGCCGAAUGAGUGGAUGAGUACAUUAAAUGUUGUCCUGACAAUAUGUCUAAUCGUGAGAAAAGUGGAGACGUUUCACUAGUUUCCCGCAUCAAAUUCAAAAAAGACGGACUCUUCUACUUCCCGGGCUCAUGUUAUGGAAGACCCGGAAAGUGGGGGACUAUCUGUAUUGGGUCGAAGCACCCGAGGUUAAUUUGUGCGACUGGAUGCUCAAGUGUUCCGGGGGAUCCAUACAGCUAGCUUCCACUGCUACCAACUCGUGUCACGUCUACCGACCUCGAUCAGAGCGUCGUAUCAUACACGAAUGUUGGGGUCACAGAGAGGUCACAUCACCCGUACUUUAGGGGUUGAAAAGUCCAACUUUGGCUUAUAUAAUGAUAGCUUAGGAUAGAAGGAAGGGCAUCUUGCUCACAUUUUAUAAACCCUAUCUCUCUUUUCUCUCUAAGGCAAUAUAGACAAAAACAUCCAUUAUUAAUCUGUUUUUCUUGUAUCAUUUUCUUGUUUGUUAUCUCGCAUUGUGCUACACCCGUGCUCAUUGCUACUCCAAACCGGGCUCAUAACAGAGUUUUCAGAAUUGGAUACGACUCACUUGUCUUCAAACCCUAUAAAAAUAAAUCUCUAACUGAUUUUCUUAUCUAGUUCGUUCUCACCGGAAAACAAAUCAAGUUUUUAAUUAACUAACUCUCUCUACUUAUUACAAAACUGCCACUGUCACUAAUCUAUUUUUCAGCUAAUACAAAUAAUCUCAAAACCCCCCUCAAGUUGGAGGUGAUGUAAUCACAACCAACUUGCGCAAGAUGGAAGAAUGUUUGAUCCCAGUUAAGGCCUUUGUGAAAAUAACUACUAGUUGGGAAUUUGUGGAAAUGUGGUGGAGGGUGAUUAGUCCUGUAGUGGUUCGAUAUUUUUUCCGAUUCGUAUUUGCACUUGCCUCAUUUAAAAGGAAAGUGUCCCCGGGAAGUACGGUUGUUAAUCGUACCGGGAAAAAGAAAAAAUAUACCUCUACGUGAUGGUGCUCUAAAUGGACUUUAUUUUUUAGAGUCGCCACUUAAUUUUUAUAAAAUUAGGAAAACUAGUUCGGAAGGGUUCAUUUAAAAUGGUUAAGUUUUAAAAGAAACCAAUCUGUACCAAAGUUUGGGUAAGGGUUCUGGUGAUCCCCGGGGAAGGUGUUAGGCACCCCGGUAUUAAGGAUCUGUAAAAUACGGUUGACCUACGGGUUUUAAUAGUAUGCCCUGUAGAUAUAGUUGUUUAUCAUAAAAACUGCUUUUGUUUAUAUUUUCGCAUACAAGAUGUGUCAUUUAUGCAAAAGUACUCACCUUUCAAGAAAUGAAAAUGGUAGAGUUUUGCCCAAAAUUGGGCGUUUUGGGUUUCGGACUAGAACACCUAGGUUAAAACCCAGAGGCGUUAACCUAAGUAGAACACUACGUAAGCCCACCCGAGUUUAGAAAAGGGUUUUUUAGUUUUAAGUUUUAUAAAAUCAUUUUUUGGCAUACUAUUAUUAUUAUUAUUAUUAUUAUUAUUAUUAUUAUUAUUAUUAUUAUUAUUAUUAUUAUUAUUAUUAUUCAUAUUUUAUAUUAUUUAGAUUUUUAGUCUUUUUAGUCCAAUGUCAGUCCAGGGUCAUUUAAUCCAUUUGUCCAAAUUGUCCAUAGGUACGGUCCCAAUUUGUCUCAAUGUCCAUAAAUUGCCAAGUCCUUUUUGUCCACAAAAUUAUAUUUUUAAGUUUGAGAAAAUGUCCAUUUUUUGCCCACAAGUCCGUUUCUGUCUCAAAAAAUCAAUUUUACACGCCAAUUAUUAUCAAAAAUCAGUUUUGUUACUUGGAAAUGAUUUUUAGCAACUCUAAAUUUGUGACGAUUAUUAAAGGGUUCCAAUAAGCAUAAAAUAACAAAUAAACAAUGUAAAGUACGGAAAUGGGCCUACCAAGCCCAAUAGAAAAAUAAAAUAAUGUAAUUGACUUAUUCCGCUCCAAUUUUCUUGCUCCAAUGCUAGGUUCGUCCAUGGUUGAAGUCGACUCGAUCUAGGAAAGUUAGUGGGCCUCGUUGAGACCCAUCAACUGGUUUGGGUGGACAAGGAUGCAAAUGAGUAUACAUGAUAUUAGAAUACACUCAUAGAUUAAACUAAGUACACAAUUUAAAGCCUACAAUAAUUAUUACAUAGCCAAAAAUAAAUUACAGCGUUAUUGGGCCAAGCCCAUACAUUAUAACUAGCAGCAGUAGAUAAUUAGAUGGUUCAAGUAAAAUAGGCCUAGCAUAGUAGUAACAAUAAGUCAAGUAUGAAAACACGGAUGACAAGGCCCAAGCCCAAGCCAUUCUCUCCUUAAAAAAAUUUCUAAGUGUCAAGAGGUGGUACACCUGAUAUACUACUGGUGUACUACUCUAUUUUUCUCAAAUUCCUCCUAAGUAUCAAAACUCUAAUAUACAUGAUAUACUACUAGUAUACCACUCAAUCUCCUCUCAAAAUUUCUAAGUAUCAAGACCGUGUAUACGAAAUAUACUCCAAUGAUAUACGACUAAUGGUGAGCAAAACCCAAAUGGCAUACUCUCCAUAUACCUGAUAUACACUCCUUAUACGCACCAUGGGAGAGCAAAACCUUAAGGCAUACCCUCCCAAUUCACUUAAUAUCCAUUUUUUUUGUUAACUCAAAUAGAUUUUUUAGAAAGUCAAAAACCAAUUCACACAUUCAUUCUAGGACCAGUGUUUAGGUCAUUAGUUGGUUUAGGAGGAAUGCAAAUUCCCAGAAGCAAGCAAGCAAAGAGGAUUACCCAAACAGCAACAACAUGCAAAAGCCAAAAAGCCACAUAGCUCAACAAUUUUUAGUAAUGUAACUUAGGCUAAUGAGUCCCAAGGAGGGGGGGGGGGGGGGUGUUAAAAUGGCUAAGGAAACAAGCAAUAGCUACAUCAAAAGGAUGAGGGGACAAGGGAACAUGAAAUCAAGCACAACAAGAUGGAGAGAUACACAAACAAACUACCAAACACACCUUCAUAUUUCUAUUUCCAGUUUUAAAGAGUCAGCAAUCAAAGAAGGGGUAGAACUAGAGGUUAAAUGACUUAGAAGUCAUACCUGUCCAGUGAUGAACCAAUUCAAAUACCAAAAACUAUUUGUCAAGUCUGUUUGUUAUCAACAAAGGUGUCACAGAAGCAAAUUACAAAUCCAGGGUCAUUUUAGCUUAGUUUUAAUCUCAGCAAGUUCAGAGAUAGCAAGAUUGGCAAGUCACAGGUUCAUCAAAGCAUUAGUAGGACCCCAAGAUAGUUCACACUUAGUCUAUUUUACAGAAUUUGCACAGAAAUUACAUGUUACACCUUGGAAAACCUUCCGUUGGUACGCAAGUAAAUGAUCCAGUGAGGAGUACGAGUAUACGAUAUUUCCAUAAGUAAGAAACAACGUUUGACGACCCUAAGUAAGAUUCCGAAGGAAAUUGCAAUAAGAGAUAGGUUAUGCUCCACAAAGACUAAUUAUAGGUUUUGGAAAUGUGAAAAAUUGCAGGUUUGCAUUCUGGCCAGUUGCACGUAAAAUGAAAUACGGACCGUAAAGUGGUAUACGGCCCGUAAACUGCCAUGUCGUAUUUUGGCUUCCAAAACUUCAACUUUGUGCCAAAUGAGCAAAUGGUUAAAUACGACCCAAAAUACGGACCGUAAACUAGUUUACGGCCCGUAAACUGUGUCCGUAAAUCACCACGUCUCAGCCUGAGUUUCUGGUUCUGAUAGGAUUAUACACGACCACGAAGGACGGUCCGUAAAAUGGAAUACGGACCGUAAACCAAGUUUACGACCACUGUGCUUUCUUUUAAGAUCAGAUUUUGGGUUAUUAAAUAAGGGACCAAGUUUAUUAUUUCAUUUCCACAUUUCAUCCCUUCUCUCUAAAACAUCUCUCUACAUUUAUUCCACAAGAUUUCAAGGAUUAUUAGUCAUCAACAACACAAAUCAAGUGAAUCAAGUGUAAGGAAACCCAUUAAGAUCAUUCAAGUCAAGAAGAUCUUAUUGAAGGAAAACUAGGGUUUUUGCUCAAGUGGAGUAUUUCGACCAAGGCUCGUUCCUACAAUAUCUAAGGUAAGAUUUAUGGUAUAUAUAUGUUGUUUAAGGUAUUUGAGAGUUAAAAUGCUUGGACAUUAGAUGAGUAUAGAAAAAUGGGUCAUGAAUGAUGAAUAAUGACAUUUUGAGAGAUAGUUUGAAUUGAACCAUGAUUCUUGUUGUGUUGUGAUAUGAAUGUGUUAUAAAUGAUGUUAAGAUCAUGCAAAUGGGCAUGUUAUAUGAAUGGACGAAGUCGGGUGAUAUGACCAUGAAUAUGGGUGAAUUGGGAGCGAAUUGAGAAAUCUAGAUAAUGUGGUUAACGUAAAUGAUUAAUGGCCAUUGUUAUGGUAUUGUGAAUGUAUUGUUGACGUUUGGGAGUUGAAUUACGAUAUGGAGGAAUGUUGUAUAAAUAAAGGAGAUGCUGUCCGAUUUUCUCUAGCUUUAGCCAUGUGUGCUAGUUGUCGAUUCUAACGAUAGUAUGACUUUAAUGAAGGUAUAAACGCAACCGUUGAAAGAGAACGUGCAAGUGGUAAAUAGUCGAACGGAAAAGGUAUGUAAGGCUAACCCUUCUUUCAUAAGGCAUGGUUCUUUGGCCAAACAUCUAAAUCUUCCAUAAGUCUGUGAUGUCUCAUAAAUGAUUCAAUCUUCCGAGCUAUUAAGCUCACGAUUCUUGGUAUGCUACGAUUGUACUAAGUUCCUUGUAUGACGAGUAAGCCUUGUUGACUCCCAAUUUUGUCCCGCCUCUCCUCCGAAAUACCUAUUUACGCUUCUAAUAUUUUUUGGAAAAUUAAAAAAAUAUAUUUAUAUUUUACUAUAAUUAUUAGCCUCUUAUCAAUACCGGCGUUUCAUUAUUCUAUUACAGUUACUAGCUAUUAUUGUUAUUAUUAUUAUUAUUAAUUCAAAUACGAGCCCAAUUCACCCCAAUAUUUUCGGAGUAACCCAAAACAAUUUUCAUAGGCCACUAUCCAUUUUAAUUCACCCCAGCCCAAAACAAAUAAAUAUCCCAGCCCAUAUAUUUUCAGCCCACCACAUCCAUUACCCGACCUGACCCGAUUGGCCCAUUUCCUUUUAAACAAAAGAUUAAACCCCUAGGGUUUCAUCUCUUCUCCUCAGCGCCUCCCUCGACCCCUGUUCUCUCUCUCUUCUCUCCUAUCUUUCAUCGUCACCUCUGUCUCUCCCAUUUCCCCUGUUCCCCACGCUUCUGCCACCCCCACUUCGCGUUGUUCCCCACGCUCCUCUCUAACAAACCCUAGAAUCGCCCUAUAAAUGAGGUCUUUUUGAUUCAUGAAAGGGGAGGCGAAAAAACCCUUUAAAAAACAUAUCUUGACAGAUCGAAAAUCUCUUGAAGAGAAGUUGUUUCAGUGGUAAAAAAUUCCCCUGAAAAUUGAGUGUUGAAUAAUUUGUUUUAUCCUCUUUUGUUGCUUCUGUUACUGUUUCGCAUCCGAGUCUGCGCAAACUCGGAGAUUCGAAGUGUUCGGGUGUGAAUCGGAGACCCUUGCAGCCUAGUUCGCUGCACCCCAAAAAGGUCAGUAAUUUUCAUGCCUUAGUAAUUUCAGUGUUUGAAUUCUGUUUUGUUUAGCUCCUAUGGUUCAAGUGGUUAUGCUUAGUUUAUCGUCAAAUCCCGUUUUAGCUUUUGGAAGUUUCAUGAUUAGUUCAAUGAUUAAUAAUCAGUUUGUCAUGAUUGGUUAGUUGCCACUGUUAGUUUGUGGUUAGUCUACGGUUUGGAUUGAUUGGAUAUCUGAUCUAGUUAAGAGUAUAUGAGAAUAUACUGGUUUGAACAUGUUUCCCUUGCUCCCAAAUACCGAACAUGUUUCCCUUGUUCCCAAAUACCCAGAAACAUUUCACUGAGCCUAUGUUUUGUCCAGAGCCUGGUUUUAUUAGUUUAAUCCAAUUUGUGGCUGAAUAUUCUUUAUAGUUCAGGUAUGACAUAAGUUUUCCAUCUCUCUCGUCAUUUCUGGUUACUUGUUGUAUGAAUAAAGGCACGAGUACCAGCUUGUUUUUCCCUUUGUGGUUAUAAAAAUGAUUUUCGGAUAUAUCAUUUUCUAUGUGUUGGUUCCUUUUAUGCUGCUUAGCAUUCUUUGAGACAUAAUUAGCCUUUCCUCUAUUUGCAUUAUAAUCUAAGUACGCUCUUAGUGAGGUUGAGUUUGACUUGAUACGAAGCAUGCUAUUUAGAUAAGCGAGCCUAGCGAAGUAUUUAGAACAAGUUGUUUUGUGGUGUGUGUAAGCAUUUCUUGACUGGCUAUCUUGCUCCUUGUCGAAUAUGUGCUCCUAUUUAAUUUGAAGAUUAUGGUGUUGGAUAAAUCAUCAUUUGGUUCGAGUGUCAAGACUGGUCUUUGAAUGAUUAAAACACUUCUAAAAACAAAUCCCUAGUACUCUCACUCUAUGUUAUCCCAUGAAGUGAACUGUAUGUGUUUAGUCUCUUUGAGAUAUAAUGAACCAGUUUUUUUUAGCGGUCUUCCAUGCUUCUUUUUAUUUUCAUUAGCUCAUUCCUGCCAUUUUAGAUCAUUGUCGAAGUGUUAAGUUGGUUGCUGUAUUUCUAUAAAAUGCUUUAUUGCCGCUACUACAUGCUUAUUCUGGAGCCUCUGAGAAUAGCUGGACAAUCUCGUUUGAGAAUUCUUUCUUUUCCAAAACUUUUUGUUUCAUAUGCAUUCAUCCAUGAGAGGUCUUUUAAGUUAUAGUAUAACUACAACAUGUUAAAACUAAUCCACUAGGUAUUAGCCUACUGAACCUUUUGCUAGUUGAUUUAACUGCAUGAAUACUAGAACAAUUAUCGAUUUCCUAGCUAAAAUAUUCUGUCUACAUGUUUAACUGCCCAAUUUAGUCGUUGUUGAAAAUCCCCUAUUCUUUCCUUUUCAAGAAAAUCAUGUUCAGGAGUCAUUUUUUUUACUAAAUUUAAGGAAAGAACUACUCUCAGUCUAAGACUAAUCUGAACUUUUGGGGAUGGGUAUGAGUACAUGGUCUAAGAUUAAUUUAAUCUAACAGCCUUGUUCUUGGUUAGAUUUCACUCGCACCAGAUCAGUCCUUCCCUUUUCUCUGUUUAUUAAGAAUAUGUUUGAAUGUCAUGUUUAGAACUUAUUGGAAUGCAAGAGUUGUGUGAUGGAGAUUAUGUUGGUUGUUUCUCGUUUUCGUUAACAAAAAUAUUUGAAUGAGAAUGACUGUGUUUUCCAUCAGAGUAAAUUGAAUAUGUUGGAAAACCUUUCUGGGAAAUUUCUCUUUUGUGGCCUAAAGUCUUUUAUGUGGAUUCACUUAUCUAGCUAACAUGAAUUAUGCCGAUACUUGUAUUGUUUCUAUGCUAAUCUUUAUUUCACCUUCUUUUACAUGUACGCUUUGAGAGCAACAUGGAGUCUUCAUACAAGACUCUCACCGCCGCAAGCAGUCUCGUUGGAGAUUAACGUCUGUUGCCGUUAAACCCAAGACUUGACUUACAUAUCCAGUAACGCCUCUCAUGCUCUCGAAAAAUGCAUCCAAACAGAAUACAACAGAGAGAGGAGAAACAACGGAACUCCCCUUCUUAUUGUGUCAAUCGAUUUUACGCUUUAUAUAUUUCUUACAGAUCUCAUGACUUGCUAGCAUAUUUUUAUUUCCUUUCAUAGGCAUGGUUAGUUUUAGAGUACUUCAGGUAGUUAACCUUAUGGGGUAAUUUAGCGAUAACGGAUUUAGAGUUCAAGAGAUUUUGAAGUGACGCCUUAAAGAGUUCAUUAAUUUAAUCUAUUUUCAUAGGUUGAGGAUCUUAAGUUAUUAAUCUGAUAGAAGUUUAUCUCUAAC
Molecule: long non-coding RNA, 11369 nt
Organism: Lycium barbarum (goji berry)
Lineage: Eukaryota; Viridiplantae; Streptophyta; Magnoliopsida; Solanales; Solanaceae
Exons: 2
Source: RefSeq, a predicted model, not a curated record